Molecule: unclassified non-coding RNA, 300 nt
Filed under: uncultured Exobasidiomycetes
Lineage: Eukaryota; Fungi; Basidiomycota; Exobasidiomycetes
Description: sequence contains 5.8S rRNA gene, ITS2
Rfam family: 5.8S ribosomal RNA (bases 1-71)
Source: RNAcentral
GUGAAUCAUCGAAUCUUUGAACGCACCUUGCGCUCUUGGGUAUUCCCAAGAGCAUGCCUGUUGGAGUGUCAUGAAUCCCUCAACACGAACCGUUUUUUUUAAUGAAAGCGAGUUUGAUCGUUGGAUGUGAGCGCAAUGCCUUUCGCAAGAAUGGCUCGCUUGAAAUGGAUUUGUGGGCUGCUCAUGUGCACAACAAUGUGCUCGGAUAGCAUCUUGGCCUUUUCAUCGUUAUGGUUUUCCUUCGAUGAAGUCUGGGCCUUGAGGCAACAUGUUCGAGCGGGCAUUGGCACCGAGUUGGCU